Molecule: long non-coding RNA, 794 nt
Filed under: Rhinopithecus bieti (black snub-nosed monkey)
Lineage: Eukaryota; Metazoa; Chordata; Mammalia; Primates; Cercopithecidae
Description: lncRNA (ENSRBIG00000046552.1)
Source: RNAcentral
AUGUUAUUGGCAUUUGAUUUGACUGGAGGCAGAAUAAUAAUUCACCUAUGACAUUAUUUUAGCAAUUGAGAUGGAGUGGAAACAACUUGAAAAAAGACAAAGAAGAAGCAUUAAAGAUUUAACUUAAUCUUAUUUAAAAAUCACUAAAUUUGGAGGCUGGUGGAGAUUUGUGAUAAAAGAAAACAGUGAGCAGAAGAUUACUGAACCCAGGUCCUUAUGGAAGGUGUCACCAACAAUGGUUACCCAGAAUGAAAUACCAAGUAAAGUGUCACAGAUAGAUUACCGCUCAUGACAAAGAGGAGAUUUGCUUAACUGAGACUCAGAACAAUCUUGGAACGGGUGAUAGCGUGUGGUGCCUCCGGAAUGAUGGGAUUGGUGAAAUGUAUCCUGUUUGCAUUCACUUUUACUCCGAGAAAGAUGAGAAGAGUCAUUAAAGGAUUCCCUCUGGAGGUUCCGGACACAGUAGCUAUCAAGCUGGUAACUCCUAAGUGGGUUAGAUGUUUGUGGAUUAGACCACAGCUCUACUGCCACUCUUAAAUGUGCUUGCCUGUGUAAUUUAUGGGCCUGAAAGCCUGAGAAUUUCACUUCCCAGUGCUUGGCAGCUGGUUUCUAGUUAGGUUAUUCCACUAUAAAAUAUUGGCAGGACAUUAGAAGGUGAGUGAAACUAUUUCCUCCCUUCUGUUUUUGGCUGUGACACCAAUGUCAGCAGUCCAUCUGUGACACCAGCAGCUUUUGCUAUGAUGCGGACCAUAUUGUAGAGAUUUUAUGGUUCUCUCUGUGGCAAGGUAUCCUUU